Molecule: long non-coding RNA, 337 nt
Organism: Dermochelys coriacea (leatherback sea turtle)
Lineage: Eukaryota; Metazoa; Chordata; Testudines; Dermochelyidae
Exons: 2
Source: RefSeq, a predicted model, not a curated record
GGCUAGAGCUGGAGGAGGAUGGAUAGUGCACCUGGCUGGAGGAGCGACAGUGCCUUGGACAAAGCAGUGCUGGCAAAGGCCAGGGGGAAUGCAAAGGAGUUUUGGGCUGGCUGCUGGGAAUCAACAAGGCCCUAAGUUUUACAGUUUCCAAAUGAUCCAAGUUGGAAGAAGAUUGGGCCCUUAAAGAGGAGUUCUGCUGUAAAGACUGACAUUGUGGUGGUCCAUGUUUAAUUGUCUCAGGAAUAAUUUCACAAAGAAAUAGAAACAUGUGGCCAGAAUCUCAGCUGACCUAAACAGAAUAGGUUUGUUUUCAAUGGAACUAUACUAAUUAACACCA